CAUGCAAGUCGAACGGAAUAAUGACUUCGGUUGUUAUUUAGUGGCGGAAGGGUUAGUAAUACAUAGAUAAUCUGUCCUCAACUUGGGAAUAACGGUUGGAAACGACCGCUAAUACCGAAUGUAGUAUGUUUAGGCAUCUAAAACAUAUUAAAGAAGGGGAUCUUCGGACCUUUCGGUUAAGGGAGAGUCUAUGGGAUAUCAGCUUGUUGGUGGGGUAAUGGCCUACCAAGGCUUUGACGUCUAGGCGGAUUGAGAGAUUGACCGCCAACACUGGGACUGAGACACUGCCCAGACUUCUACGGAAGGCUGCAGUCGAGAAUCUUUCGCAAUGGACGAAAGUCUGACGAAGCGACGCCGCGUGUGUGAUGAAGGCUCUAGGGUUGUAAAGCACUUUCGCUUGGGAAUAAGAGAGAUUGGCUAAUAUCCAAUCGAUUUGAGCGUACCAGGUAAAGAAGCACCGGCUAACUCCGUGCCAGCAGCUGCGGUAAUACGGAGGGUGCUAGCGUUAAUCGGAUUUAUUGGGCGUAAAGGGCGUGUAGGCGGAAAGGAAAGUUAGAUGUUAAAUCUUGGGGCUCAACCCCAAGCCAGCAUCUAAUACUAUCUUUCUAGAGGGUAGAUGGAGAAAAGGGAAUUCCACGUGUAGCGGUGAAAUGCGUAGAUAUGUGGAAGAACACCAGUGGCGAAGGCGCUUUUCUAAUUUACACCUGACGCUAAGGCGCGAAAGCAAGGGGAGCAAACAG
Molecule: ribosomal RNA, 740 nt
Filed under: uncultured Chlamydia sp.
Lineage: Bacteria; Pseudomonadati; Chlamydiota; Chlamydiia; Chlamydiales; Chlamydiaceae
Description: bacterial SSU rRNA
Rfam family: Bacterial small subunit ribosomal RNA
Source: RNAcentral